AGUGAACGCGGCGGCGUGCCUAAUACAUGCAAGUCGAACGGAGAUUAAGUAGCAUGCUAUUUAAUCUUAGUGGCGCACGGGUGAGUAAUAUAUAGCUAAUCUGCCCUACACUAGAGGACAACAGUUGGAAACGACUGCUAAUACUCUAUACUCCUUCUUUACAUAAGUUAAGUCGGGAAAGUUAUUCGGUGCAGGAUGAGGCUAUAUCGUAUCAGCUAGUUGGUAGGGUAACGGCCUACCAAGGCUAUGACGCGUAACUGGUCUGAGAGGAUGAUCAGUCACACUGGAACUGAGACACGGUCCAGACUCCUACGGGAGGCAGCAGUAGGGAAUAUUGCUCAAUGGGGGAAACCCUGAAGCAGCAACGCCGCGUGGAGGAUGACACUUUUCGGAGCGUAAACUCCUUUUCUUGGGAAAGAAUUAUGACGGUACCCAAGGAAUAAGCACCGGCUAACUCCGUGCCAGCAGCCGCGGUAAUACGGAGGGUGCAAGCGUUACUCGGAAUCACUGGGCGUAAAGGACGCGUAGGCGGAUUAUCAAGUCUCUUGUGAAAUCUAACGGCUUAACCGUUAAACUGCUUGAGAAACUGAUAAUCUAGAGUAAGGGAGAGGCAGAUGGAAUUCUUGGUGUAGGGGUAAAAUCCGUAGAGAUCAAGAAGAAUACCCAUUGCGAAAGCGAUCUGCUGGAACUUAACUGACGCUAAUGCGUGAAAGCGUGGGGAGCAAACAGG
Molecule: ribosomal RNA, 730 nt
Filed under: uncultured Campylobacter sp.
Lineage: Bacteria; Pseudomonadati; Campylobacterota; Epsilonproteobacteria; Campylobacterales; Campylobacteraceae
Description: bacterial SSU rRNA
Rfam family: Bacterial small subunit ribosomal RNA
Source: RNAcentral